Molecule: ribosomal RNA, 468 nt
Filed under: uncultured bacterium
Lineage: Bacteria
Description: partial 16S ribosomal RNA
Rfam family: Bacterial small subunit ribosomal RNA
Source: RNAcentral
GACGAACGCUGGCGGCGUGCUUAACACAUGCAAGUCGAACGGAAAGGCCCUGCUUUUGUGGGGUGCUCGAGUGGCGAACGGGUGAGUAACACGUGAGUAACCUGCCCUUGACUUUGGGAUAACUUCAGGAAACUGGGGCUAAUACCGGAUAGGAGCUCCUGCUGCAUGGUGGGGGUUGGAAAGUUUCGGCGGUUGGGGAUGGACUCGCGGCUUAUCAGCUUGUUGGUGGGGUAGUGGCUUACCAAGGUUUUGACGGGUAGCCGGCCUGAGAGGGUGACCGGCCACAUUGGAACUGAGAUACGGCCCAGACUCCUACGGGAGGCAGCAGUGGGGAAUAUUGCACAAUGGGCGGAAGCCUGAUGCAGCAACGCCGCGUGCGGGAUGACGGCCUUCGGGUUGUAAACCGCUUUCGCCUGUGACGAAGCGUGAGUGACGGUAAUGGGUAAAGAAGCACCGGCUAACUACGUG